Molecule: long non-coding RNA, 865 nt
Filed under: Equus asinus (donkey)
Lineage: Eukaryota; Metazoa; Chordata; Mammalia; Perissodactyla; Equidae
Description: lncRNA (ENSEASG00005027647.1)
Source: RNAcentral
GCGUGGUUUGAUGAGCGGUGCCGUGUCCGAGCCCAGGAUCCGAACCUUCCAAGCCCCGGGCCGCUGAAGCGGAGCGUGCAAACUCAACCGCUCGGCCACGGGGUCAGCCCCUUCCUUCCUUCCUUCCUUCCUUCCUUCCUUCCUUCCUUCCUUCCUUCCUUCCUAAGGAGGAGGAGGCAGGCACUGUGUGAAGUCGCCAGUGAGUCUGUGGAAAGAGACGGAGGAUUUCCCAUGGGAAGCCGGGGCGGGGGACACGGACCGAUGUCGUGCGAACUUGAAGGCUGGCGACUCGGCAGUGGAAGGCUAGGGGUUUCUUCCGAAAUGGUGAACCGGCCCCCUUGUCCACAGGAAAACCACACACGGGUACAGCCUAGGCCGGAUCUCAGGCCAAGUCGUCAGGGUGGCAAGAUGAUGGCGGAUGAGAGGAAACUUGUUCUGGGACCGCACCGCCCCCCCCCAUCGCCUCUCUGGCUGAGAAGAGGGCUGGGGAGCGGUGAGGGUCAGGGGGAGAGUGGGGGCGGGGCCGGGACAGGGACCACCGGGCAGUAGGACGGGAGUAGCCCUGAGGCCUGCCUGCCUGCUUCCUUCCCUGCCGGCGCAGGGCUGAGAGAGGCACGGGGCACGCUGGCUCCUGCCCCUUCACUCAUUCGGGAAGCCUCCUGUUGUUGCUCCUGAGGUGCCGGCUGCGGUGACAGACAGAGCAAAACUCCUCUCUCUGUCUAUUUCUUCAAAGGCCCGAGUCUGAGCUACGACAGAUUCCCCUGUGGCUCAACCCGCAACCUCCCAUCCUGCCAGACCAGACCCCUUGUCUAAAAACCUCCACUGGAGGAGCUCUUCCACCUGACUCGGAAAGGAAACACCAGCC